RNAcentral lists this microRNA precursor (140 nucleotides) under Cinara cedri. Lineage: Eukaryota; Metazoa; Arthropoda; Insecta; Hemiptera; Aphididae. The record is from RNAcentral.
UUAAUAAUGGCGGUGGAGGGGGGGGGGGGGGAAAGAAAAAAAAAAACCUCCCCGUUAUAUUGUUCCUGCCGUUCUGCCGCCGGGAUCCGGUGGUCUUUUUUUUUUUUUCCCCCCCCCCCCCCCCAACCCCACUCGCUCUU